Molecule: ribosomal RNA, 253 nt
Filed under: uncultured bacterium
Lineage: Bacteria
Description: partial 16S ribosomal RNA
Rfam family: Bacterial small subunit ribosomal RNA
Source: RNAcentral
UACGUAGGGGGCAAGCGUUGUCCGGAAUUAUUGGGCGUAAAGCGCGCGCAGGCGGCCUUUUAAGUCUGAUGUGAAAGCCCCCGGCUCAACCGGGGAGGGUCAUUGGAAACUGGAAGGCUUGAGUGCAGAAGAGAAGAGCGGAAUUCCACGUGUAGCGGUGAAAUGCGUAGAGAUGUGGAGGAACACCAGUGGCGAAGGCGGCUCUUUGGUCUGUAACUGACGCUGAGGCGCGAAAGCGUGGGGAGCAAACAGG